AAGAAACUAGCCUAUGGCUUCUCCAAGG
RNAcentral lists this non-coding RNA (28 nucleotides) under Rattus norvegicus (Norway rat). Lineage: Eukaryota; Metazoa; Chordata; Mammalia; Rodentia; Muridae. The record is from RNAcentral.